GCCGGUCAUGAUGUCGCAUGCCUGUAAUCCCAGUGGCUCAGGAGGCUGAGACGGGAGGAUCCUGAGUUCAGAGCCAGCCUCAGCAACUGUGAAGCACUAAGCAACUCAGGGAGACCCUGUCUCUA
This 125-nucleotide small RNA is filed under the name Marmota monax (woodchuck). Lineage: Eukaryota; Metazoa; Chordata; Mammalia; Rodentia; Sciuridae. The record is from RNAcentral.